RNAcentral lists this long non-coding RNA (294 nucleotides) under Sorghum bicolor (sorghum). RNAcentral describes it as "long non-coding RNA (SBIC_LNC013510)". Lineage: Eukaryota; Viridiplantae; Streptophyta; Magnoliopsida; Poales; Poaceae. The record is from RNAcentral.
CGCCAGCAACGGCGGCAGCCAUGACGGCUCCCCGUCUGCCCUGUUCAAGCUCUCCACCAACACCGGCAGCAGCAUUUCCUUCAGGCUCCACCCCAACACCUCCCGCUCGGUGACCACAACCUCGACCACCAACUCGUCAGCUCCAACUCCAGUGGCCCCGGCAGCUGCAUCAGCAGCAGAAGAAGACUCAUCACCAGCCCCCUCCCUUGACCUCCUCAGCCGCCAGCUCGCGGCAGGGGACUACCGCCAGGCCGACGAGACCACCCGGGCGCUCAUCAUCGACCUUGCUGGCGA